UAAACGGAACGCGUGUAAUAUCGGCAGUAUCAGCAACUGGGCAAAGCGUAGUAUCUCGGACAAAGUGUUAACACCGGCUAUUAUAAAGUUUUAUCUUGCGGUUUCUUUUGUAGGGAUUGUAGCACACUGGAUUGUACACUGGCGAUGUGUUGGGAAAAUAAGCUUUGAAUGAUUCAUAAUUCAAAGGUCAUAAAAAGGCUGAGUAAUUUGACAAAUUACUCAACAACAAGUUUAACGAAUAGUUAGAGACUCCACGAACAGACAACAUUGUGUUAGUGCUAAUUGUUUUGUAGGAGUUCCCAACAUUUAUUCGUCAGUUGACAAAUAACAAGGUACCUAUAACCGACGGAAUUGCGACAGGACUGGAUGAAAAUAGAGAGAUGGACAUACAAGACACGAAAGUAGAGACUUCAAGAUCCAUGUUCUAUAUGCCAAUCGUGAUGCUGGUUUACGCUAAAUAUGUAGACAUCAUUGGUUUUUGGCUCUCCGAUGUAGCUAAAGACUACCAUGGGAUCGAGCAGAGGAAAGAGAACCUCGGAUUGCAGAUCAAAGAGACAAUACCUAAUUAAUGGUGGAAUCACCAGCGACACCUAUGAAAAAAAUCCGAUGUACAUUUGUUUGCUUAGGCGUUUGAUAAACAAUGAUAAUGAACGGACAGGUGAUCACACUUUCCAAGUCAUCGAAGAUUGCAUCUGUCUCGGAUAAAAAAUCAGCAUGGAAGAUCUGACGAAAUUCUCUUAGACGCGUACGAGAGGAAGAUGCUCAAAUGCUGUUUUGGCCUCGUAUCUGUAGCAGAACAAUGGAGAAACCACUACAACGAUAGGCUGUACGAGCUGUAUGACAAUGUAACGGUCAUGCAGCGUAUCAACUGCAGCGUAUCUAACUGCGCCAGGCCCCACUGGUCUGGUCAUAUUAUACCAUGGGCCCGAAUGACCCAGCAGGUAAAGUAGUAGUCCCAAAUUACUGUGGCGUAGUGACAAGAUGGCGUGGAGGCGUGCGGUAUUAUGGCAGUGAUAACAAACUGGCAUACGAAGACGCAUGACAGUUUCGGUCCUUUUGGCAGCAGGCCCAAGCUUAGUCAUAUGUAGGUAUAUUUUACGGUAGAACUUAAAAUCAAUGGAUAAACAAAAAAAUGGGUUCUUCCCGGUUAAAAAAUGGUUAUCUUCCUAUCAGCCAGGUUGCCAUAGUAUUUCUAUUUACAUUUUGUAUUGCUUCUUUUUUAAAGGUUUUUAAAUGUUGUUUUUGAAUGUAGAUUUGGUAUUUUACAAGCAGUUGGUUAAAAAUCUACGAGUUAAAUGUAGCCAAGAUUACUGCAAUACAAUUUAACGCAGCCUGAAACGGCAAACAAAUAUUGAAAAUAAAUCAGUGCUGCAAACUGUAAAGUAUUUGAUCACGUCGUUCAAUGCUAGAUAAAGUCUGGUCCUAUUUAACUUUCGUUAUUAUGUUAUCAAUAAUGGUACAUUCCAUUCGCAUCAAUCGUGCCAGGUGUACCGUAAGGCAAAGGCUACAUCUGUUGAGUGCGGGGAUUCUUUAAAGGUGAAGAUUUCACAAAUAGACAGCGUAUUGGAAAAUGAGCACAAAUGUUGAUAAGAUAGUUCACUCAAUAACUGAUAGGUAGGUGAAGCACUUUCGAUAAUGAUAUCUUCUUGUUUGAACUUCGCCUUGAUUGCAUGCAUUCAACCAACGUUAACCGAUAGUAAUAGCAAAUUUACAACCCGUUUUUUUCAUGAGCGCAUGUAUAAAAAAUCGAUUGCUACUGAUUAUCACAUCAAUCACCGCAGCUUCCUGCACAUGGAGCUAAUUUAGUACUAGUAAAAGUUGAUGGUAUGAUAUAUUACCUUACCUUUCGUUGGGUGACUCAUAAAUCACUAACUUUUGUGCAUUUGAUUUGAUUUUUGUGCGUUAAACAAACAAUGGAAGUAUUUUCGACGGAACUCAUUUAAUUUCCGUUCUGAGAACCAUUUUUUUCAGUAAGGUUAUGCGGGAUCAAAAUUUCGGAACAUCCAGGGAAUCACAUCCGGGGGUAGGACGAUAAAAGUACCUGAAUUCUGGCAAAAGUGGUGAGGAUACGUGGUACCGCAACAAGAUAUUCAUUGGAAAGGUGCUAUACUGUUCCUGUUGCCAUGCAUUUGCGGGUGCUCAUGUAUUCCCUCUCCCCCCUAUCCCAACUUCGAGGACCUACCUUAACAAGUCCCAACACAGAUGACGCUUAAAUGAUAAUCGAUACAAUAAAAAGUCGAAAGCCACCAGGCUUAACUGGUCUGAUCUAUA
Long non-coding RNA from Anopheles arabiensis, 2271 nucleotides. RefSeq lists it as uncharacterized. The record is from RefSeq and is a predicted model, not a curated record. The transcript is spliced from 5 exons. NCBI's taxonomy places the organism in Eukaryota, Metazoa, Arthropoda, Insecta, Diptera, Culicidae.